GAUGAACGCUAGCGAUAGGCUUAACACAUGCGAGUCGAGGGGCAGCAUGGUCUUAGCUUGCUAAGACUGAUGGCGACCGGCGCACGGGUGCGUAACGCGUAUGCAACUUGCCUCACAGAGGGGGAUAACCCGUCGAAAGACGGACUAAUACCGCGUACACUUGGGAUAGGGCAUCCUGACCCAAGGAAAUGAAAGUCGCUGUGAGAUAGGCAUGCGUCCCAUUAGCUAGUUGGUGAGGUAACGGCUCACCAAGGCGACGAUGGGUAGGGGAACUGAGAGGGGGAGGCCCGACACGGGGACCGGGAAAAGGAGGAGACUCCUACGGGAGGCAGCAGUGAGGAAGAUUGGUGAAUGGGCGAGAGCCUGAACCAGCCAAGUCGCGUGAAGGAUGACUGUCUGAUGGAUUGUAAACUUCUGUUAGACGGGAGUAACAGGAGCCACGUGUGGGUCCCUGAAUGUACCGUAUGAAGAAGCAUCGGCUAACUCCGUG
This 490-nucleotide ribosomal RNA is filed under the name uncultured bacterium. RNAcentral describes it as "partial 16S ribosomal RNA". It matches the Rfam family "Bacterial small subunit ribosomal RNA", at positions 28 to 507 of the family's 1533-position model. The record is from RNAcentral.